AUUGAACGCUGGCGGCAGGCCUAACACAUGCAAGUCGAGCGGAUGAAGGGAGCUUGCUCCUGGAUUCAGCGGCGGACGGGUGAGUAAUGCCUAGGAAUCUGCCUGGUAGUGGGGGAUAACGUCCGGAAACGGGCGCUAAUACCGCAUACGUCCUGAGGGAGAAAGUGGGGGAUCUUCGGACCUCACGCUAUCAGAUGAGCCUAGGUCGGAUUAGCUAGUUGGUGUGGUAAAGGCCUACCAAGGCGACGAUCCGUAACUGGUCUGAGAGGAUGAUCAGUCACACUGGAACUGAGACACGGUCCAGACUCCUACGGGAGGCAGCAGUAGGGAAUCUUGCACAAUGGGCGAAAGCCUGACGGAGCAACGCCGCGUGUGUGAUGAAGGUCUUCGGAUCGUAAAGCUCUGUUAGUAGGGAAGAACAAAUGUGAAAGAAAAUCUGGCCGUUUUGACGGUACCAACAGAGAAAGCCCCGGCUAACUACGUG
This 484-nucleotide ribosomal RNA is filed under the name uncultured bacterium. Its description in RNAcentral is "partial 16S ribosomal RNA". It matches the Rfam family "Bacterial small subunit ribosomal RNA", at positions 30 to 507 of the family's 1533-position model. The record is from RNAcentral.